CCAAUAGCGUAUAUUAAAGUUGUUGCAGUUAAAAAGCUCGUAGUUGAAUUUCGGGAUCAAUGUGUUGGUCGUGCCUUGGUACGUACUGGCAUUAUCGAUUCCUACCUUCUGAAGAACCUCGAUGUCAUUAAUUUGGUGUCUUGGGGAAUCAGGACUGUUACUUUGAAAAAAUUAGAGUGUUUAAAGCAGGCUCGCGCUUGAAUACAUUAGCAUGGAAUAAUGAAAUAGGACGUUUGAUUCUAUUUUGUUGGUUUCUAGGAUCGACGUAAUGAUUAAUAGGGAUAGUUGGGGGCAUUAGUAUUCAAUUGUCAGAGGUGAAAUUCUUGGAUUUAUUGAAGACUAACUACUGCGAAAGCAUUUGCCAAGGAUGUUUUCAUUAAUCAAGAACGAAAGUUAGGGGAUCGAAGACGAUCAGAUACCGUCGUAGUCUUAACCAUAAACCAUGCCGACUAGGGAUCGGAUGAUGUUAAUUUUUUAAUGACUCAUUCGGCGCCUUACG
This 499-nucleotide ribosomal RNA is filed under the name uncultured Glomeromycotina. RNAcentral describes it as "partial small subunit ribosomal RNA". It matches the Rfam family "Eukaryotic small subunit ribosomal RNA", at positions 591 to 1092 of the family's 1831-position model. Lineage: Eukaryota; Fungi; Glomeromycota. The record is from RNAcentral.